This 240-nucleotide unclassified non-coding RNA is filed under the name soil metagenome. RNAcentral describes it as "partial contains 5.8S ribosomal RNA, internal transcribed spacer 2, and large subunit ribosomal RNA". The record is from RNAcentral.
AAGACUAUAGACCUGCGGAGUACCUGCGGUGGGAUCAUUAACGUAUCUAUGAUGGGGUGCGGAGCGCCCUGCUCCGGUCGAACGGCCGUGCAGCGGGUGCGCCGCCCCCGUCCCACCUCACAAACCCACUGUGAACAUUCACCGGUGGAGGGGGCUCGGUCUGCGCCGUGUCCCCGAUGCCGAAUACCCAAACUCCAGUUGCAAAGAACGUCGUGCGGACUCGGUGCCGCCUAAAACAUG